Molecule: long non-coding RNA, 2170 nt
Filed under: Lathyrus oleraceus (garden pea)
Lineage: Eukaryota; Viridiplantae; Streptophyta; Magnoliopsida; Fabales; Fabaceae
Description: Pisum sativum (pea) long non-coding RNA (PSAT_LNC010462)
Source: RNAcentral
UAUGGAAAUAGUAAAACAGAGGGACAUAUGGUGGACCAGGGGUGAAGGAAACGGAGUUUGGACCCAAGGCGCACAAGGCCCAAUCCGGAAUUGAAGGGGAAAAGAAAAAUUAGAGCAACUGCAAAAAUCACGUGUAACACACUUUCCACGUUUUCCACAUGCUCUCAGAUUCAAACAAACUUCUUCUCCCUCCUCUCUCCCUUCACCACACUAGAGCUCACCAACAGAGGCGGUGGAGCAAUCAAUCACUAAAUCAUCUAUGCCAAAACACUCCAAUUCUCAUGCUCUAACAAAAUCCACAAUCAAAAUCUCCUGAAACCUCGUAAAAUUUCCAGAUCGAGAGAAAUCAUUCAAGAACCCUAGGCUAUUGCAACAAAAAUUAAAUGACGAAUAAGAGGAAUCAAAGACCCUGAUGUUAGGGCUUUGACUCCUUGGAUCUCACUCUACAUGAUCGUAAUAAGGAUGAAAGGAAUCAAUAAGAAAAAAAUACCUCUGAAGUGGAGAAUUGCUCCAACAAGUUGUUGAAUCGGAGAAGACGCUUGCAGCGAUAGAAAAUCACUUGAAUAAGGUGCUUCUUGCUCCUAUUUUCUUCUUCUGUUUCUUUUCUUCUUCUUCCAUCUUCUGAGAUCGAGUGAGAGUUUCAAAGAGGUUGCAGAGAGUGGAUUGUGAGGGUGAAGUUGCUCUGAGAUUCGUGAGGCUGAGCUUUACUUCAUCGGAGCUUUAGUGGAGUAUUUCGAAGGAGCUUUGUGUGAGGGCGUGAAUUGAGUGAGAGAGAAUUUAGAGAGUGAGAAGAUGAAUCUGAAGUUCUAAGGAUGAAUCAAUUUUUAUUACCUCUGUUAGUUCAAUUGGAUCCAAAGUUAGUUAAGGGUGAAUCACGGUGUUAGUUCCAGUUAGUUAGGCUAGUUAUGCUUGUGAAAUUCUAUUAGAGAAACAUGAAAGUUCAGUUAACUGAGUUUGGCUGUUAAAAGUUAACUGACUCAAGUUAAAAUGUUAGUUCCAAUUUCUGUUAGUGGAAAAAUGCCCAGUUAAGCGAGGUUAACUAUUAGAUGUUAGUUAGUGUAGGUUAAAUUUUUUCGUGGUAAAAAUGGAAAUUAGUUAGGCUCGAUUUCAAUUAAGUUAGUGAGUGUGAAAUGAUUUCAGUUAAAUGCUUGAAUGGAGUAAUUUUUCUGUUAGGUAAAAAAGAGGUUAAUUCCUGUUAGUUGGUGCAAUAUUAACUUUUAGUUGGUUAUGGAUGUUAGAUGGAAGGUUCAGUUACAAGUUAGUGUUAAUGUUAAGUCUUGUUGCAUUGCUGUUAAUUUGCUUCUAAUGCAUUGCCUUGGUUCAUGGUGAUUUAUUGUUAUAUUGAUGUUGAAUGUGUUGUUGCAGGAUGUUGCCAUGGUCAUGAAUGUGUGAUGAAGGAUGUUACCAUGAUGAUGAUGAACCAAGGCUAAAAGUUCUUGGAUAGUGCAAAUUGACUCAUGGCAGGGAAAAGAAAUGCUUGUUGCCGCAGAUGAUUACUGAUGAUGAUGAUCUGAUAUUGCAGGUCCCUAUAUUAAGAUGAAAAUUAUGUAGGUUGUAGCAUGAUGUAUGUAUUUGGUAAGCUCAUGCCAUGGUGAGUCUUGCAAGUGUUGUUAGCUGAUGUACAAUAUGUCUGCUCAUGUAUUGUUGCUAUGUUUGCCAUGAAUGUGCAUGUUAUGCCUUAAUAUGCAUUACUUGGUUUAAUGUUUGGAUGUCUGCCCCAAGUUUAGGUUCACUUGCAUUGCAUGCUUGUAUUGGAUUCAUGGAUGCAUGUAUUGAUUAUAAUGAGUGCAUGGCUGCUGGUUUCUGGCAUUGUACAUGAUGGAAAGGCAAAGCUUGGCAUGAGCAACAAAGCCUGACAAAGUUCAAGGAAAGACAAAUCAAAUGGAUGCAAAAUCAGAUUUCUUGCUCAUGAAGAAACAUAAUGAUGGAAACUCAAGAAAUGAUGCAAGAAUGAGAAUGUAAUUAGUAUUAGGGUUUUAAGGAUGGAAAAAUGUGAUAAUUGACUUUGGUUAACUGGUUGACCAAAAGUCAACUUUUGAUAAAAAAUGAUUUUUUUUUAUAUUUUGUAAUGGACAAUGUACAUGCUAAUGAAUGAAUGAAAACACCUUUAUUUAAUUAGAAUGAUCAUUAUGUUUAAAUGUAAACAAAUUGAUUUCAAAAUGAACUUUGC